Molecule: ribosomal RNA, 567 nt
Filed under: Streptomyces sp. 319C10
Lineage: Bacteria; Bacillati; Actinomycetota; Actinomycetes; Kitasatosporales; Streptomycetaceae
Description: bacterial SSU rRNA
Rfam family: Bacterial small subunit ribosomal RNA
Source: RNAcentral
CAGUGGCGAACGGGUGAGUAACACGUGGGCAAUCUGCCCUGCACUCUGGGACAACACCGGGAAACCGGUGCUAAUACCGGAUACGACGUGCCUCCGCAUGGGGUGUGCGUGGAAAGCUCCGGCGGUGCAGGAUGAGCCCGCGGCCUAUCAGCUUGUUGGUGGGGUGACGGCCUACCAAGGCGACGACGGGUAGCCGGCCUGAGAGGGCGACCGGCCACACUGGGACUGAGACACGGCCCAGACUCCUACGGGAGGCAGCAGUGGGGAAUAUUGCACAAUGGGCGAAAGCCUGAUGCAGCGACGCCGCGUGAGGGAUGACGGCCUUCGGGUUGUAAACCUCUUUCAGCAGGGAAGAAGCGCAAGUGACGGUACCUGCAGAAGAAGCACCGGCUAACUACGUGCCAGCAGCCGCGUUAAUACGUAGGGUGCGAGCGUUGUCCGGAAUUAUUGGGCGUAAAGAGCUCGUAGGCGGCCUGUCGCGUCGGAAUGUGAAAGCCCGGGGCUUACCCCCGGGUCUGCAUUCGAUACGGGCAGGCUAGAGUUCGGUAGGGGGAGAUCGGANUUCCU